This 478-nucleotide ribosomal RNA is filed under the name uncultured bacterium. RNAcentral describes it as "partial 16S ribosomal RNA". It matches the Rfam family "Bacterial small subunit ribosomal RNA", at positions 28 to 507 of the family's 1533-position model. The record is from RNAcentral.
GACGAACGCUGGCGGCGUGCUUAACACAUGCAAGUCGAACGGGAUUUAGUAGACAGAAGCCUCGGCUAAAGAUUACUACUGAGAGUGGCGAACGGGUGAUUAACGCGUGAGCACCCUGCCUAUGACAGUGGGAUAGCCUCUGGAAACCGGGAUUAAUACCGCAUAAAAUCGUAGAAACAAAUGUUUUAACGGUCAAAGAUUUAUCGGUCAUAGAUGGGCUCCCGUCUGAUUAGCUAGUUGGUGGGAUAACAGCCCACCAAGGCGACGAUCAGUAGCCGGUCUGAGAGGAUGAACGGCCACAUUGGAACUGAGACACGGUCCAAACUCCUACGGGAGGCAGCAGUGGGGAAUAUUGCACAAUGGGGGAAACCCUGAUGCAGCGACGCCGCGUGAACGAAGAAGGUAUUCGUAUCGUAAAGUUCUGUCCUAUGGGAAGAUAAUGACAGUACCAUAGAAGAAAGCUCCGGCUAAAUACGUG